Molecule: ribosomal RNA, 279 nt
Filed under: uncultured bacterium
Lineage: Bacteria
Description: partial 16S ribosomal RNA
Rfam family: Bacterial small subunit ribosomal RNA
Source: RNAcentral
UGCCAGCCGCCGCGGUAAUACGGAAGGUCCAAGCGUUAAUCGGAAUUACUGGGCGUAAAGCGCGCGUAGGUGGUUUAUUAAGUUGGAUGUGAAAUCCCCGGGCUCAACCUGGGAACUGCAUCCAAAACUGAUUCACUAGAGUACGAUAGAGGGAGGUAGAAUUCACAGUGUAGCGGUGGAAUGCGUAGAUAUUGUGAAGAAUACCAAUGGCGAAGGCAGCCUCCUGGAUCUGUACUGACACUGAGCGGACAAAGCGUGCCUAGCGCGUAUUACUGCGGA